CCUACGGGGGGCAGCAGUGGGGAAUAUUGGACAAUGGGCGAAAGCCUGAUCCAGCCAUGCCGCGUGUGUGAAGAAGGCCUUCGGGUUGUAAAGCACUUUCAGUGGGGAAGAAAGCCUUGGGGCUAAUACCCUCGAGGAAGGACAUCACCCACAGAAGAAGCACCGGCUAACUCCGUGCCAGCAGCCGCGGUAAUACGGAGGGUGCGAGCGUUAAUCGGAAUUACUGGGCGUAAAGCGCGCGUAGGCGGUCUGAUAAGCCGGUUGUGAAAGCCCCGGGCUCAACCUGGGAACGACAUCCGGAACUGUCAGGCUAGAGUGCAGGAGAGGAAGGUAGAAUUCCCGGUGUAGCGGUGAAAUGCGUAGAGAUCGGGAGGAAUACCAGUGGCGAAGGCGGCCUUCUGGACUGACACUGACGCUGAGGUGCGAAAGCGUGGGUAGCAAACAGGAUUAGAUACCCGGGUAGUC
RNAcentral lists this ribosomal RNA (465 nucleotides) under Vreelandella stevensii. RNAcentral describes it as "partial 16S ribosomal RNA". It matches the Rfam family "Bacterial small subunit ribosomal RNA", at positions 338 to 795 of the family's 1533-position model. Lineage: Bacteria; Pseudomonadati; Pseudomonadota; Gammaproteobacteria; Oceanospirillales; Halomonadaceae. The record is from RNAcentral.